AAUCCAUAGGUUAAUGAGGCGAACCGGGGGAACUGAAACAUCUAAGUACCCCGAGGAAAAGAAAUCAACCGAGAUUCCCCCAGUAGCGGCGAGCGAACGGGGAGGAGCCCAGAGCCUGAAUCAGCAUGUGUGUUAGUGGAAGCGUCUGGAAAGGCGCGCGAUACAGGGUGACAGCCCCGUACACAAAAGCGCAUGUGCUGUGAGCUCGAUGAGUAGGGCGGGACACGUGGUAUCCUGUCUGAAUAUGGGGGGACCAUCCUCCAAGGCUAAAUACUCCUGACUGACCGAUAGUGAACCAGUACCGUGAGGGAAAGGCGAAAAGAACCCCGGCGAGGGGAGUGAAAAAGAACCUGAAACCGUGUACGUACAAGCAGUGGGAGCCCCACCACUAAGCCAGUGGUGAACUC
RNAcentral lists this ribosomal RNA (407 nucleotides) under Salmonella enterica subsp. enterica serovar Typhimurium. RNAcentral's name for it is "partial 23S ribosomal RNA". It matches the Rfam family "Bacterial large subunit ribosomal RNA", at positions 161 to 600 of the family's 2925-position model. The record is from RNAcentral. Lineage: Bacteria; Pseudomonadati; Pseudomonadota; Gammaproteobacteria; Enterobacterales; Enterobacteriaceae.